AUACGGAGGACGCGAGCGUUAUCCGGAUUCAUUGGGUUUAAAGGGUGCGCAGGCGGCCGUGCAAGUCAGCGGUGAAAGCCCGGAGCUCAACCCCGGAAGUGCCGUUGAUACUGCAUGGCUGGAAUGCGGUCGAGGCGGGCGGAACGUGGGGUGUUGCGGGGAAAUGCGUAGAUAUGCCACAGAACGCCGAUAGCGGAGGCAGCUCGCCAGGCCUGCAUUGACGCUCGGGCACGAAAGCGUGGGGAUCGAACAGGAUUAGAUACCCUGGUAGUCCACGCCGUAAACGAUGGGCGCUCGUCGUCGGCGGCAGACAGUCGGCGGCCAAGCGAAAGCGAUAAGCGCCCCACCUGGGGAGUACGGUCGCAAGGCUGAAACUCAAAUGAAUUGACGGGG
This 393-nucleotide ribosomal RNA is filed under the name uncultured bacterium. RNAcentral describes it as "partial 16S ribosomal RNA". It matches the Rfam family "Bacterial small subunit ribosomal RNA", at positions 523 to 918 of the family's 1533-position model. The record is from RNAcentral.